UUUUAAAAAUUGCCUUGCAGUGCUUUAUUAAGCUUAAAAGGGAAUGCCGUGAAAAUCGGCAGCACUCCCGGUGCUGUGAUGGGGGACGAAAGGUGCUAUUCCCCGCCCUUUCUAAGCAUUAGGUUCAAAAGUAACUGAUGUGAUUUUUUUGGGAGUCUUUAAAAAUUGAGAAAUAAAAUAAGAGUUGGAUAGAAAGGGCGGGGUGAAGUGCCACUGUCCCGCUUUUUCUAUAGAAAAGGCGGGGUGGGAAGGCGCAUCCAGUAGAGUGAUCCCGGAGCCAGAAGACCUGCUGCAGGGAAAUUUUUCUG
This 308-nucleotide non-coding RNA is filed under the name Candidatus Omnitrophota. The record is from RNAcentral. Lineage: Bacteria; Pseudomonadati.